CCCUUAGAUGCUCUGGGCCGCACGCGCGCUACACUGGUCGAUGCAACGAGUUUCUUUCCUUGGCCGACAGGCCUGGGCAAUCUUUGAACAUCGAUCGUGAUCGGGAUAGAUUCUUGUAAUUUUUGAUCUUAAACGAGGAAUUCCUAGUAAACGCAAGUCAUCAGCUUGCAUUGAUUACGUCCCUGCCCUUUGUACACACCGCCCGUCACACCUACCGAUUGAAUGGUCCGGUGAAAUCUCCGGACUGGCGUGAGUCGGAGCAAUCUGACAAACACCGGAAAGUUGAUUAAACCUUACCAUUUAGAGGAAGGUGAAGUCGUAACA
RNAcentral lists this ribosomal RNA (324 nucleotides) under uncultured eukaryote. RNAcentral's name for it is "partial 18S ribosomal RNA". It matches the Rfam family "Eukaryotic small subunit ribosomal RNA", at positions 1470 to 1796 of the family's 1831-position model. The record is from RNAcentral.